This 490-nucleotide ribosomal RNA is filed under the name uncultured bacterium. Its description in RNAcentral is "partial 16S ribosomal RNA". It matches the Rfam family "Bacterial small subunit ribosomal RNA", at positions 30 to 507 of the family's 1533-position model. The record is from RNAcentral.
AUUGAACGCUGGCGGCAGGCCUAACACAUGCAAGUCGAACGGUAACAGGAAGAAGCUUGCUUCUUUGCUGACGAGUGGCGGACGGGUGAGUAAUGUCUGGGAAACUGCCUGAUGGAGGGGGAUAACUACUGGAAACGGUAGCUAAUACCGCAUAAUGUCGCAAGACCAAAGAGGGGGACCUUCGGGCCUCUUGCCAUCGGAUGUGCCCAGAUGGGAUUAGCUAGUAGGUGGGGUAACGGCUCACCUAGGCGACGAUCCCUAGCUGGUCUGAGAGGAUGACCAGCCAAACUGGAACUGAGACACGGUCCAGACUCCUACGGGAGGCAGCAGUGGGGAAUAUUGCACAAUGGGCGCAAGCCUGAUGCAGCUAUGCCGCGUGUAUGAAGAAGGCCUUCGGGUUGUAAAGUACUUUCAGCGGGGAGGAAGGGAGUAAAGUUAAUACCUUUGCUCAUUGACGUUACCCGCAGAAGAAGCACCGGCUAACUCCGUG